AUGCUUGCUUUGGCAGCACAUACACUAAAUUUGGAAUGAUGCAGAGAAGAAUAACAUGGUCCCUCCACAAGAAUGGCAUGCAAAUUCAUGAAAUGUUUUAUAUUUUU
This is a small nuclear RNA of Choloepus hoffmanni (Hoffmann's two-fingered sloth), 107 nucleotides long. Lineage: Eukaryota; Metazoa; Chordata; Mammalia; Pilosa; Megalonychidae. The record is from Ensembl.